This 555-nucleotide ribosomal RNA is filed under the name Escherichia coli. RNAcentral describes it as "partial 23S ribosomal RNA". It matches the Rfam family "Bacterial large subunit ribosomal RNA", at positions 344 to 904 of the family's 2925-position model. The record is from RNAcentral. Lineage: Bacteria; Pseudomonadati; Pseudomonadota; Gammaproteobacteria; Enterobacterales; Enterobacteriaceae.
GGAAAGGCGCGCGAUACAGGGUGACAGCCCCGUACACAAAAAUGCACAUGCUGUGAGCUCGAUGAGUAGGGCGGGACACGUGGUAUCCUGUCUGAAUAUGGGGGGACCAUCCUCCAAGGCUAAAUACUCCUGACUGACCGAUAGUGAACCAGUACCGUGAGGGAAAGGCGAAAAGAACCCCGGCGAGGGGAGUGAAAAAGAACCUGAAACCGUGUACGUACAAGCAGUGGGAGCACGCUUAGGCGUGUGACUGCGUACCUUUUGUAUAAUGGGUCAGCGACUUAUAUUCUGUAGCAAGGUUAACCGAAUAGGGGAGCCGAAGGGAAACCGAGUCUUAACUGGGCGUUAAGUUGCAGGGUAUAGACCCGAAACCCGGUGAUCUAGCCAUGGGCAGGUUGAAGGUUGGGUAACACUAACUGGAGGACCGAACCGACUAAUGUUGAAAAAUUAGCGGAUGACUUGUGGCUGGGGGUGAAAGGCCAAUCAAACCGGGAGAUAGCUGGUUCUCCCCGAAAGCUAUUUAGGUAGCGCCUCGUGAAUUCAUCUCCGGGGGUA